UACGUAGGGACCAAGCGUUGUUCGGAUUUACUGGGCGUAAAGGGCUCGUAGGCGGUCUGUCACGUCGGGAGUGAAAACUCAGGGCUUAACCCUGAGCCUGCUUCCGAUACGGGCAGACUAGAGGUAUGCAGGGGAGAACGGAAUUCCUGGUGUAGCGGUGAAAUGCGCAGAUAUCAGGAGGAACACCGAUGGCGAAGGCAGGUCUCUGGGCCACUACUGACGCUGAGAAGCGAAAGCAUGGGGAGCGAACAGG
This 253-nucleotide ribosomal RNA is filed under the name uncultured bacterium. RNAcentral describes it as "partial 16S ribosomal RNA". It matches the Rfam family "Bacterial small subunit ribosomal RNA", at positions 524 to 776 of the family's 1533-position model. The record is from RNAcentral.